RNAcentral lists this ribosomal RNA (206 nucleotides) under uncultured bacterium. RNAcentral describes it as "partial 16S ribosomal RNA". It matches the Rfam family "Bacterial small subunit ribosomal RNA", at positions 569 to 774 of the family's 1533-position model. The record is from RNAcentral.
GUGUAGGCGGCUAGGUAAGUCGGAUGUGAAAGCCCUGGGCCCAACCCAGGAACUGCACUCGAAACUGCCUGGCUAGAGUCUCGGAGAGGGUGGCGGAAUUCCCGGUGUAGAGGUGAAAUUCGUAGAUAUCGGGAGGAACACCAGUGGCGAAGGCGGCCACCUGGACGAUGACUGACGCUCAGACCCGAAAGCGUGGGGAGCAAACA